Molecule: unclassified non-coding RNA, 301 nt
Filed under: Glomus sp.
Lineage: Eukaryota; Fungi; Glomeromycota; Glomeromycetes; Glomerales; Glomeraceae
Description: partial contains 5.8S ribosomal RNA and internal transcribed spacer 2
Source: RNAcentral
GUGAAUCAUCAAAUUUUUGAACGCAAAUUGCACUCUCUUCGGAGAGGAGGCCUGGGUGAGGGUCAGCCGAAAAAAAAUCGACAUAGUUGCUGUUUCGCGGUGACAGUCGUCGGAAAUUGGGUCAUCCUAAACCUUGGGGUUUUAAGCGGCUUAAAAUGUUCUUUACGAUUCCACGAACGUUUCUAAGAUUUUACUUCUUACACGUUUAAGGUAUCGAUCUUUAUUAGACGUGGCCGUUGCAGCGGAUCACGUCCAGAAAUAUGUCGUUAACUGACCUCAUACAGGUAAGAACACCCGCUGA